Molecule: ribosomal RNA, 423 nt
Filed under: Psophus stridulus
Lineage: Eukaryota; Metazoa; Arthropoda; Insecta; Orthoptera; Acrididae
Description: partial large subunit ribosomal RNA
Rfam family: Archaeal large subunit ribosomal RNA
Source: RNAcentral
UAAAGAGCCGCGGUAUUUUGACCGUGCAAAGGUAGCAUAAUCAUUAGUUUCUUAAUUAGAGGCUUGAAUGAAUGGUUUGACGAAAAAUUAACUGUCUCUUAUUAAAUUUUAGAAUUUAACUUUUAAGUUAAAAGGCUUAAAUACUCCUUUAGGACGAGAAGACCCUAUAGAGCUUAACACUUAAAAAUUUUAUAUUAUUUUAGUUUAUCUUUUUAUGUAAAUUUUUUAGUAUUUGGUUGGGGUGACAUGAAGAAUAAUUAAACUCUUCAUUAUAAAAUCAUUAAUUUAUGUUUAUUUGAUCCAUAAUUUAUGAUCAUAAGAUUAAGUUACCUUAGGGAUAACAGCGUAAUCAUUUUUAAGAGUUCAUAUCAACAAAAUGGUUGCGACCUCGAUGUUGGAUUAAGAUUAAUUUUAGGUGUAGUA